ACGAACGCUGGCGGCGUGCUUAACACAUGCAAGUCGAACGGGUUCAUAUUAAGUAGCAAUACUUGAUAUGGAUUAGUGGCGGACGGGUGAGUAACACGUAGGUAACCUACCCUUGAGCGGGGGACAACCCAGGGAAACUUGGGCUAAUACCCCAUAAGACCACGGGGUGUAAAUUCCGUGGUAAAAGUAGCAAUAUGCUCAUGGACGGGCCUGCGGCCUAUCAGGUAGUUGGUGAGGUAACGGCCCACCAAGCCAAAGACGGGUAGCCGGGCUGAGAGGUUGAACGGCCACACUGGAACUGAGACACGGUCCAGACUCCUACGGGAGGCAGCAGUGGGGAAUAUUGCACAAUGGGGGAAACCCUGAUGCAGCGACGCCGCGUGGAGGAUGAAGGUCUUCGGGUUGUAAACUCCUUUUAUUGGGAAAGAUUAUGACGGUACCCAAUGAAUAAGCCACGGCUAACUCUGU
Molecule: ribosomal RNA, 468 nt
Filed under: uncultured bacterium
Lineage: Bacteria
Description: bacterial SSU rRNA
Rfam family: Bacterial small subunit ribosomal RNA
Source: RNAcentral